Long non-coding RNA from Mustela erminea (ermine), 1716 nucleotides. RefSeq lists it as uncharacterized. Lineage: Eukaryota; Metazoa; Chordata; Mammalia; Carnivora; Mustelidae. The transcript is spliced from 6 exons. The record is from RefSeq and is a predicted model, not a curated record.
GGUACGUCGAGGACAGCUUGGGGAGACGAUUGACCACCCAGUUUUUUAAAAAAUAGGUGUUUACUGAAGUAAGCAAGGAUUUGUGGCUGUUUGGAGCUGGAGUGGCAGAUGGAACCAACUUGGAGUCUGGGGUAGAAGUAUGAGUUACAACCCAGAGGCUGCUGCAUGAUGCCUAGACAUCACACAGGCCACCUCCACACUGGGAGAGCUGAGCAGAUCUCAGAGUAGACAUGCUAUUGCCUUCAAGCAUGGUCCAGACAAGGAUUCCUGCCGCCUCCCACUUUGGACUACACUGGAAAGCUGGACAGCCAUCAGAAUUUGCCAUCAGUGGAGUAAAUGAACAAGCUGGUUACCUCAAUGGAAAUCCCACAAGGAGAUAAAUCCCUUCCUACAACAUCAAUAUUUCAAUGGAAUGCUUCCUGGCAUGGAAGUGUCUGAGUGAGCCCCAGUGGCUAGGCCCAAAUUCAAGGAAAGCCCAAAUCUGCAAACUGGAAAAAUGGAAUGGAGAAUGUAAAUACUAUAAAGAGAUGACAUCUGAAACAAUUUCAAAAUAAGAGGCAAUGACUUCUUCAAGUCUUAACUUGAGUCCUUGAGAGCUGAGCUAUUCAAUGAAUUAUAUAUAAAAACAGUCCCGAGGAAUACAACCUCCUCCAUGUACUGCUUAGAGCAGCCCAGUAUUCACAGAUGCAUUCAUGCGGCUCAGCAUACCUCUGAAGUAGGACCAUCAUUCCAUUUUACUAAUUAGGAACAGGCUGAGGUAAAUUAGGGAAUUUACUCGAGGUGCCUUAGCAAGAGUUAUCAGUGAGAAGACCUGAACUCCCAAACCUGUGCUUGACACCACGCCACCAUUCCCUUUUAGAACUUGCCUCCCCUGGCUCUUAGGUCUUUGAUCUUUAUAAGAUCUUCUAUCUAGCCAAGCCCUAGCCUUCUCCUUUUAAUGCUCCCUCUCAAAACAGAGCUCUUUCAUGUGUCAAAGUUUCAACCACAAAGACGAUCACAAAUUACUUGACUUUAACUCCUCUCUCUCAAUCCAAAGGCCAAAUGCAGUAACACAUUAUCUUCCCACAGAAUGUCAGAAGGCUCUUAAAAUAGCAAGACUAGCCACUUUUCUAUUAAAGUUUUCUUAUCACCUGAACCAUCAGCAAGUAUUCUGGAUGCGGUUAGCGGCAACAGAGCAGCAGACCACAUGCAGUGGACAGCAGCACCAGACCAGGCUGGGCCUGGCUAGGCUUACUUACCUGUAGACGACGGCAGGGAUGCGCUUCCAGGACCUGAAGCUUGCUACACUCUCUAGUUCUUUGUCGGUGAUCCAGGCAGGCACUAUGAGCUCCUGUGGAUAGCUACCACAUAGCCUAAUGGGGAAGAGUCUAUCUCCAAUGUGACAUCAAGUGGUGACGAGACCAAUGGAAACUGCCUGCCUACAUGAGAACACAAUACUGUCUAGGAAACACACGCACCUGGAACAACAGAGAUCUGGAGGGGGGAUGGAAAGGAAGGUUCCAGAAUCCUAUGAAAUACCAAUUUUCCACUCCAGUAACAGCAAUGGGAACAGAAGGCUCAAGAAGUACUCUGAAGACCAUGCAGUUAGAUAUAAUAAAAUUCCACUGAAAAAAUAGGUCUAUGUCUAAGUUCAAAUGCUCCGCCGCAUGAGAACUGGGGUUUCUGCAAAGGCACUGGCUGUGAAGCACAGUCCAUAGGCACCCAUACAACUCACUU